UGAAGAGUUUGAUCAUGGCUCAGAUUGAACGCUGGCGGCAGGCCUAACACAUGCAAGUCGAACGGUAACAGGAAGCAGCUUGCUGCUUUGCUGACGAGUGGCGGACGGGUGAGUAAUGUCUGGGAAACUGCCUGAUGGAGGGGGAUAACUACUGGAAACGGUGGCUAAUACCGCAUAACGUCGCAAGACCAAAGAGGGGGACCUUCGGGCCUCUUGCCAUCAGAUGUGCCCAGAUGGGAUUAGCUUGUUGGUGAGGUAACGGCUCACCAAGGCGACGAUCCCUAGCUGGUCUGAGAGGAUGACCAGCCACACUGGAACUGAGACACGGUCCAGACUCCUACGGGAGGCAGCAGUGGGGAAUAUUGCACAAUGGGCGCAAGCCUGAUGCAGCCAUGCCGCGUGUAUGAAGAAGGCCUUCGGGUUGUAAAGUACUUUCAGCGGGGAGGAAGGUGUUGUGGUUAAUAACCGCAGCAAUUGACGUUACCCGCAGAAGAAGCACCGGCUAACUCCGUGCCAGCAGCCGCGGUAAUACGGAGGGUGCAAGCGUUAAUCGGAAUUACUGGGCGUAAAGCGCACGCAGGCGGUCUGUCAAGUCGGAUGUGAAAUCCCCGGGCUCAACCUGGGAACUGCAUUCGAAACUGGCAGGCUUGAGUCUUGUAGAGGGGGGUAGAAUUCCAGGUGUAGCGGUGAAAUGCGUAGAGAUCUGGAGGAAUACCGGUGGCGAAGGCGGCCCCCUGGACAAAGACUGACGCUCAGGUGCGAAAGCGUGGGGAGCAAACAGGAUUAGAUACCCUGGUAGUCCACGCCGUAAACGAUGUCUACUUGGAGGUUGUGCCCUUGAGGCGUGGCUUCCGGAGCUAACGCGUUAAGUAGACCGCCUGGGGAGUACGGCCGCAAGGUUAAAACUCAAAUGAAUUGACGGGGGCCCGCACAAGCGGUGGAGCAUGUGGUUUAAUUCGAUGCAACGCGAAGAACCUUACCUGGUCUUGACAUCCACGGAAGAAUUCAGAGAUGGAUUUGUGCCUUCGGGAACCGUGAGACAGGUGCUGCAUGGCUGUCGUCAGCUCGUGUUGUGAAAUGUUGGGUUAAGUCCCGCAACGAGCGCAACCCUUAUCCUUUGUUGCCAGCGGUCCGGCCGGGAACUCAAAGGAGACUGCCAGUGAUAAACUGGAGGAAGGUGGGGAUGACGUCAAGUCAUCAUGGCCCUUACGACCAGGGCUACACACGUGCUACAAUGGCGCAUACAAAGAGAAGCGACCUCGCGAGAGCAAGCGGACCUCAUAAAGUGCGUCGUAGUCCGGAUUGGAGUCUGCAACUCGACUCCAUGAAGUCGGAAUCGCUAGUAAUCGUGGAUCAGAAUGCCACGGUGAAUACGUUCCCGGGCCUUGUACACACCGCCCGUCACACCAUGGGAGUGGGUUGCAAAAGAAGUAGGUAGCUUAACCUUCGGGAGGGCGCUUACCACUUUGUGAUUCAUGACUGGGGUGAAGUCGUAACAAGGUAACCGUAGGGGAACCUGCGGUUGGAUCACCUCCUUACCUGAAAGAA
RNAcentral lists this ribosomal RNA (1548 nucleotides) under Salmonella enterica. RNAcentral's name for it is "bacterial SSU rRNA". It matches the Rfam family "Bacterial small subunit ribosomal RNA". The record is from RNAcentral. Lineage: Bacteria; Pseudomonadati; Pseudomonadota; Gammaproteobacteria; Enterobacterales; Enterobacteriaceae.